Molecule: long non-coding RNA, 1111 nt
Filed under: Ficedula albicollis (Collared flycatcher)
Lineage: Eukaryota; Metazoa; Chordata; Aves; Passeriformes; Muscicapidae
Description: lncRNA (ENSFALG00000026562.1)
Source: RNAcentral
GGGGGGGGGGGGGGGGGGGGGGGGGGGGGGGGGGGGGGGGGGGGGGGGGGGGGGGGGGGGGGGGGGGGGGGGGGGGGGGGUUUUUUUUUUUUUUUUUUUUUUUUUUUUUUUUUUUUUUUGUGUGUAUCUUUUUUGGGGCCAUUUUGAGACUAAAACCAAGAGGUAUCUCAGGGGGGGUUAUGGUUAGCUCACACUAUGCAGAAUUACACACAGUAGGAAAUCUGGGGAUUUCUCUCUCUUGCUUCAGUGACUCUAGCAGCUUGCCCAGCACUCCUAAAGCGACAUGUUGUAAGGGUCAUGGGUUUGGAGCAAAGCCAAUACUAGUGUUAGCAAGCAGAAUUCCUUAUGACUCCACUUUUUAAAUUUUUUUUUUUCCUUUUUCUCUUUGCUAUUGGCCCAACACAAGCAGCAAAAGUAACAUGUCUGAACCUGUUUCAUUGUCUGUUCUGGUGGUUACCCACUUUCUUCUCCCCUGGUUCAGGGAAAGUGAGGAAAAAAGGUUUGCCUUUGCCCAGCAGCACUGCAGGUGUCUGUCCCUCUGAAAGAGUCCCAGCGGUGUGGGCGUGCUGGAAAGAAAAAUCCCCAGUGACUUCACCCAGCUUGGCUUGUGGUGGUUACUCACAAUGAGGUAACUUUUUUUUUCUAAAUUAUUUCUUUUCUUUUUUUUUUUUUUUUUUUUUUUUUUUUUUUUUUUUUUUUUUUUUUUUUUUUUUUUUUUACAUCUGAGUUUUUGCAUAUGAGUGAAACUGCAGCUCUGGGACGAUUCAGGGAGUUUUCUCUGCAGAGUAAUUUUGCCUUUACACUGCUAUUACAGCUCUGGUAUCCUAUAGCAAGUAAGAACAUAACAUUACAUCUGUUCACACGUGGGAGAUGGAGGAACUGCAUUAAGAGCCCAUCAGAUAGGAAGGCACCAUUCAAGGAUGAGCUCCAACCCAGAACCCAUUCUGAACAGGAACCUGACCAUCUUGUCUUGGAGUCAAAUGGAGCCUUUGGAUGUUUGGAAAGUCCAACCAACAAAUGCUUUCCUAUUUUAUAUACUCUGGACGGGAGUUCUCAUCUUCCUUCCUGCUCCAGGGAAAUUGACCCUGCAGGACAAGGAGGCUUGGUGUGA